RNAcentral lists this ribosomal RNA (464 nucleotides) under uncultured bacterium. RNAcentral's name for it is "partial 16S ribosomal RNA". It matches the Rfam family "Bacterial small subunit ribosomal RNA", at positions 36 to 507 of the family's 1533-position model. The record is from RNAcentral.
ACUCCCUCUUUCUUCGUGCUUAACACAUGCAAGUCUAACGGAAAGGCCCUGCUUGCAGGGUACUCGAGUGGCGAACGGGUGAGUAACACGUGGGUGAUCUGCCCUGCACUUCGGGAUAAGCCUGGGAAACUGGGUCUAAUACCGGAUAGGAGCCAUUUUUAGUGUGAUGGUUGGAAAGUUUUUUCGGUGUAGGAUGAGCUCGCGGCCUAUCAGCUUGUUGGUGGGGUAAUGGCCUACCAAGGCGGCGACGGGUAGCCGGCCUGAGAGGGUGGACGGCCACAUUGGGACUGAGAUACGGCCCAGACUCCUACGGGAGGCAGCAGUGGGGAAUAUUGCACAAUGGGCGCAAGCCUGAUGCAGCGACGCCGCGUGGGGGAUGACGGCCUUCGGGUUGUAAACUCCUUUCGCUAGGGACGAAGCUUUUUGUGACGGUACCUAGAUAAGAAGCACCGGCUAACUACGUG